Molecule: ribosomal RNA, 700 nt
Filed under: uncultured bacterium
Lineage: Bacteria
Description: bacterial SSU rRNA
Rfam family: Bacterial small subunit ribosomal RNA
Source: RNAcentral
CGCCCUAAACGAUGUACACUAGUUGUUGUGAGGCUUGACCUUGCAGUAAUGCACCUAACGGAUUAAGUGUACCGCCUGGGGAGUACGGUCGCAAGAUUAAAACUCAAAGGAAUAGACGGGGACCCGCACAAGCGGUGGAGCAUGUGGUUUAAUUCGACGAUACGCGAAAAACCUUACCUGGUCUUGACAUAAUAAGAACUUUCUAGAGAUAGAUUGGUGCUAGCUUGCUAGAACUUAUAUACAGGUGCUGCACGGCUGUCGUCAGCUCGUGUCGUGAGAUGUUGGGUUAAGUCCCGCAACGAGCGCAACCCUCGUGUUUAGUUGCUAACAGUUCGGCUGAGAACUCUAAACAGACUGCCUACGUAAGUAGGAGGAAGGUGAGGACGACGCCAAGUCAUCAUGGCCCUUAUGACCAGGGCUACACACGUGCUACAAUGGGGUAUACAGAGAGCCGCAAUACAGUGAUGUGGAGCAAAUCUAUAAAAUAUCUCUCAGUUCGGAUUGUAGUCUGCAACUCGACUACAUGAAGUUGGAAUCGCUAGUAAUCGUGGAUCAGCAAUGCCACGGUGAAUACGUUCCCGGGUCUUGUACUCACCGCCCGUCACACCAUGGGAGUUGAAUUCAUUCGAAGCGGGGAUGCUAAAGUAGCUACCUUCCACAGUGGAUUUAGCGACUGGGGUGAAGUCGUAACAAGGUAACC